UAUUUAUUUUUGAGACAGAGAGACACAGAGCAUGAGCAGGGGAGGGGCAGAGAGACAGGGAGACACAGAAUCCGAAGUAGGCUCCAGGCUCUGUGAUGUCAGCACAGAGCCUGACGUGGGGCUCAAACUCACAGACUGUGAGAUCAUGACCUGAGCUGAAGUCAGACACUUAACCGACUGAGCCACCCAGGUGCCCCACGGCCUAAUAGAUGAGAAGUCGAAUGUGAUUUUAAAGUGAAUCAUGUCAAAAGGAUUGGAAGACACCACAAGAGUCAAAGGAGUUUUGAGUUUCCAGUAAUGUAAUCAAAAUGCUAGAAGCACAGUAAACAAAAUAACAAAUCUACAAAUUGGCAAAACAAAUGAAGUGUAUUCUGGAAUGGGCAACUCAGCAAAACACGCACAGAAACAGGGUUAUUCAUUACUACUGCACACUAUGUUAUUCUUAGUUUGCAUUCAGAAAGGAAAAUGGAAUCAUCAAGCAUAACAUCUUCUCCAGGGAACCGAGAACCGUGUCUGUGGUGUGCAUGGGCACAAAUGUUCUUUAUCAUAGUCUAUAAAGUGAACGAAUACCAACAACUUAAAAAAUCAUAAUGGCUUCAAGAGCAUGACAUUGAACAUUAGCAAAGAAGUUUAAAAAUAAUUUCAGUUUUUUUUACCUGAUGCCUGCUAGACAAGUCCAAUCUGUUCUAUUUAUUGUCUACAUAACUUCUUGAAGAGGAAAAAUGAAAUCCUGCUUAAAGAGAUUUAUGCAGUUAGCUGUGUAUAUGAUAUAAUACAAUGGGAGGUACCCAAACAGCUUUUCAGGAAAGUGUUCUUUUAAAUGGUUGAAAAUACCCUUGUUCUCAAUUUCCAUAUUAUGGAUAAGCUUUAAAUUCCAUUAAAGCUUAACCCUUUAUUCCUCAAAAUAAACCAUGGGGUUUAACUUCAAA
Molecule: long non-coding RNA, 929 nt
Organism: Panthera uncia (snow leopard)
Lineage: Eukaryota; Metazoa; Chordata; Mammalia; Carnivora; Felidae
Exons: 4
Source: RefSeq, a predicted model, not a curated record